UACGUAGGCGGGCUAAUAAGUCAGUGGUGAAAUCUCUCGGCUCAACCGGGAAACUGCCAUUGAUACUGUUAGUCUUGAGUUCGGUUGAGGUAGGCGGAAUGUGUAAUGUAGCGGUGAAAUGCUUAGAUAUUACACAGAACACCAAUUGCGUAGGCAGCUUACUAGACCGACACUGACGCUGAGGCACGAAAGCGUGGGGAGCGAACAGGAUUAGAUACCCGUGUAGUCC
RNAcentral lists this ribosomal RNA (229 nucleotides) under uncultured bacterium. RNAcentral describes it as "partial 16S ribosomal RNA". It matches the Rfam family "Bacterial small subunit ribosomal RNA", at positions 568 to 796 of the family's 1533-position model. The record is from RNAcentral.